Molecule: long non-coding RNA, 656 nt
Organism: Aethalodelphis obliquidens (Pacific white-sided dolphin)
Lineage: Eukaryota; Metazoa; Chordata; Mammalia; Artiodactyla; Delphinidae
Exons: 3
Source: RefSeq, a predicted model, not a curated record
UGCACGUAGCAGACACGUGGCAAAUAUCUGUUGAAUGAUUGGAAUCCCAGGGGCUGUUUGAGCUGCGGUGGAUCCCCACAUAGCACUCGGGCUGUGCUACUUCACGUCCCCACUGCGGAUCUCUGAUAGGACAGCUGGGAGGGUGGGUUGUGGGCCUGGAGCAGGGCUGUCUGGUACCUGCUUCGUGCCAAGUCCACUUACUCGCCUGAGAUGGGGCAUCUGUCAGCCAAGCUUUACCUUCCAUCGUCUCCUGUGUGGGGGGCCAUCUGCAAAUUCUCCAGGAUCUGGGAGAAAAAUCCAACAUCUGUCUGUAUAUCCAUGUGCUGCUGCCCUGCUACCGGCUCCUGGUACAUACCUCAGCAGAAGGGAAUCUAUCCUGCUUCAGAUCUCAACGGCGCUUUGAAGGGUGGCCGCUGGCGAUGGUAAUGGGAGUUACUGCUACUUAACGGCAGAUAAAGUGACGAACGGAAGGUAUCGUGGAUCCCUUGUGCUCCCAUAGAGAUUUUUCAGGAUACAGCAUGGAUUUGCUACUUACCUCCCUCCAUCCUUACAAGCAUUUGGACGUAGCUGGAGUCAGCCUUACGACCUCUGUGGAGGAGGGCUCUGGGCUUCACAGAGACCAGAUGAUUUUCCAACGGCCACGCCGCUGGCUUAUG